Molecule: long non-coding RNA, 234 nt
Filed under: Ananas comosus (pineapple)
Lineage: Eukaryota; Viridiplantae; Streptophyta; Magnoliopsida; Poales; Bromeliaceae
Description: long non-coding RNA (ACOM_LNC016970)
Source: RNAcentral
GUCGCCGACGACGACGUCGACAGCGAGGGUGGUGGAGACCGAACCGGCUCCUGCACCGGAGGGGAUGUAGUGGAGGAGGUAAGGGCAGAGCGGUCGAUUGGGUUUUUUUUUUACUUUUCCUUUUUUCCUUUUUUUUUGGGGUGUAGUGUUGGUUUGGGAGUUUGUUAGGGAUUUCGUCUUCAAAUUUGCAUCAUUUUUUGUGUAAUUUUGGGCGAAAUAGUGCAAUUUUAGGCG